GCAAACUUGGUCAUUUAGAGGAAGUAAAAGUCGUAACAAGGUUUCCGUAGGUGAACCUGCGGAAGGAUCAUUACUGAAGGACCCACACUUCCAUUGGUGCCUCUUGAUCUUGACCUUGGUGCUUCAUCCCUCCUGGGGUUGAGUGCCUUUCAAGAUGUCCUUACCUACACACAAACCUGUCAUCGUAUGGUGCUGAACAUUUAACAUAUGUAAUACAACUUUCAACAACGGAUCUCUUGGCUCUCGCAUCGAUGAAGAACGCAGC
This 265-nucleotide unclassified non-coding RNA is filed under the name uncultured fungus. RNAcentral's name for it is "partial contains small subunit ribosomal RNA, internal transcribed spacer 1, and 5.8S ribosomal RNA". The stretch from base 1 to 73 matches the Rfam family "Eukaryotic small subunit ribosomal RNA", at positions 1759 to 1831 of the family's 1831-position model. The record is from RNAcentral. Lineage: Eukaryota; Fungi.